RNAcentral lists this ribosomal RNA (442 nucleotides) under uncultured Prevotella sp. RNAcentral's name for it is "bacterial SSU rRNA". It matches the Rfam family "Bacterial small subunit ribosomal RNA", at positions 355 to 794 of the family's 1533-position model. Lineage: Bacteria; Pseudomonadati; Bacteroidota; Bacteroidia; Bacteroidales; Prevotellaceae. The record is from RNAcentral.
UGAGGAAUAUUGGUCAAUGGACGGGAGUCUGAACCAGCCAAGUAGCGUGCAGGAUGACGGCCCUAUGGGUUGUAAACUGCUUUUAUAGGGGGAUAAAGUGUGCCACGUGUGGCAUAUUGCAGGUACCCUAUGAAUAAGGACCGGCUAAUUCCGUGCCAGCAGCCGCGGUAAUACGGAAGGUCCGGGCGUUAUCCGGAUUUAUUGGGUUUAAAGGGAGCGUAGGCCGUCUUAUAAGCGUGUUGUGAAAUGUCGUGGCUCAACCUGGGCAUUGCAGCGCGAACUGUGAGACUUGAGUGCGCAGGAAGUAGGCGGAAUUCGUCGUGUAGCGGUGAAAUGCUUAGAUAUGACGAAGAACUCCGAUUGCGAAGGCAGCCUUCUGGGGUGUUACUGACGCUGAGGCUCGAAAGUGCGGGAAUCAAACAGGAUUAGAUACCCUGGUAGU